This 442-nucleotide ribosomal RNA is filed under the name uncultured bacterium. RNAcentral describes it as "partial 16S ribosomal RNA". It matches the Rfam family "Bacterial small subunit ribosomal RNA", at positions 338 to 795 of the family's 1533-position model. The record is from RNAcentral.
CCUACGGGUGGCUGCAGUGGGGAAUAUUUGGCAAUGGGCGCAAGCCUGACCCAGCAACGCCGCGUGAAGGAAGAAGGCCUUCGGGUUGUAAACUUCUUUUAAGAGGGAAGAGCAGAAGACGGUACUUCUUGAAUAAGUCACGUCUAACUACGUCCCAGCAGCCGGGGUAAUACGUAGGUGGCACGCGUUGUCCGGAUUUACUGGGUGUAAAGGGCGUGCAGCCGGGAAGACAAGUCAGAUGUGAAAUCCGGGGGCUCAACCGCGAAACUGCAUGUGAAACUGUUUUUCUUGAGUACCGGAGAGGUAAGCGGAAUUCCUUGUGUAGCGGUGAAAUGCGUAGAUAUAAGGAAGAACACCAGUGGCGAAGGCAGAUGACUGGACGGCAACUGACGGUGAGGCGCGAAAGCGUGGGGAGCAAACAGGAUUAGAUACCCUAGUAGUC